UUGACAAAGUGGUCAUUGAGGGAAAUAUCAGCCCCAGCAUCAAAGGUAGAAUGGGUGUCACUGUUAAAGUUGCAAAAGACAAUCUGGUCCUUGGUAUAGCCCAGGAUGUCUUUCAGAUAAUCCCCUAAUGUUUGCUUCACCACCUUAUUGAUAUCAUCAUAUUUG
This 165-nucleotide long non-coding RNA is filed under the name Lynx pardinus (Iberian lynx). Lineage: Eukaryota; Metazoa; Chordata; Mammalia; Carnivora; Felidae. The record is from RNAcentral.